AGCAGAAGAAAGAGGCCCAGAGAGCAACAGUGGCGGGUCUGCAGUCACACAGCCAACUUGCGCUUGUGGCAGUGGCAAGGUUGGUGAGUAUCUGAGUCUUCAGGCCACGGCAUUUUCCCCUUGAGUGGAGCCUGGUAAGUGGCCUCUAUUUCUAGUACAUUCUCUGGGAGCCCCCAGUAUUUUCCAGACAGAGGGCACUGAAGACAGGCUUUGUGCUGAGGCUGGGUCACCUGAGGUCCAGCUGCUCCCCGUACUCCUCCAGGGAAGGGCUGGGACCCCUUCUUCUGCGGCUGCCCCUAAAAGGACAGAUUGUUGCUUCUGUGGGAUGAGGAGAGGCAAUGUGGCAUGGUGGUUAAGCACGUGGACUUGGAGCCAGACGGCCUGGGGCUGAAUCCUGGCUCUGCCUCUCACCAACUGUGACCUUGGGCAAGGAAGCUGGUUCAGUGGGGCUGUCGACCACAGGUACCAACCCUGCCCUCCCCUACAGAGUAUGUGACACAGGCACAGCCAAUCACUGCAUCCCAGUGCUUGGACCAGUCACAGUGUCAAGGGUGCAGUGGCUCACACCUGUAAUCCCAGCACUUUGGAGUCCCAGGCAGGCAGAUCGCCUGAAGUCGGGAGUUUGAGACCAGCCUGGGUGAAACCCCAUCUCUAAUAAAAGUACAAAAAAUUA
RNAcentral lists this long non-coding RNA (673 nucleotides) under Pan troglodytes (chimpanzee). RNAcentral describes it as "lincRNA". Lineage: Eukaryota; Metazoa; Chordata; Mammalia; Primates; Hominidae. The record is from RNAcentral.